Long non-coding RNA from Hyaena hyaena (striped hyena), 337 nucleotides. RefSeq lists it as uncharacterized. Lineage: Eukaryota; Metazoa; Chordata; Mammalia; Carnivora; Hyaenidae. The transcript is spliced from 3 exons. The record is from RefSeq and is a predicted model, not a curated record.
GACGCUUAGCUGACUGAGCUACCAGGCGCCCCAUCAGUGGAGGGUGUUAAUGAAAGGAGGCCAAGAGGAUGAAAGGUGAUGCUGUUACUGGAAUGGGGGUACAAGCAGAGGGAUGAGAUCAAUUCCAGAGCAGCUGUGUUCAGGAUGCUUGCAGAAAGUUUAAGAGGAAGCUGUUGGAACCUGGAAGAACGUCCAGACUUGAACUGAGGGGCAUUGUUGGCUUAAAAAUGAUCCAAGAAACAAAAGAAGCACCUCUCAAAUGUCAUUUGGCAAACAAAAACUGAGAAACAUACAUUUUUCCUUCUUUCCACUACUGGAUCUAGGCUCUACCUUUGGA